AAAUGAAUAGACGGGGGCCCGCACAAGCGGUGGAGCAUGUGGUUUAAUUCGAUGCUACGCGAAAAACCUUACCCAGGUUUGACAUCCCGGGCUAUCCUGUGAAAGCAGGAGUUCUCUUCGGAGACCCGGUGACAGGUGCUGCAUGGCUGUCGUCAGCUCGUGUUGUGAGAUGUUGGGUUAAGUCCCGCAACGAGCGCAACCCGUAUCGCUAGUUACCAUCAUUAAGUUGGGCACUCUAGCGAGACCGCUUGGCUAUAAGCCAGAGGAAGGUGCGGAUGACGUCAAGUCCUCAUGGCCUUUAUACCUGGGGCUACACACGUGCUACAAUGGGAGGCACAAUGCGCAGCAAGCCAGCAAUGGCAAGCCAAUCGCAAAAAUCCUCUCUCAGUUCGGAUUGAAGUCUGCAACUCGACUUCAUGAAGCUGGAAUCGCUAGUAAUCGCGGAUCAGCACGCCGCGGUGAAUACGUUCCCGGGCCUUGUACACACCGCCCGU
This 494-nucleotide ribosomal RNA is filed under the name uncultured bacterium. RNAcentral's name for it is "bacterial SSU rRNA". It matches the Rfam family "Bacterial small subunit ribosomal RNA", at positions 903 to 1397 of the family's 1533-position model. The record is from RNAcentral.